This 472-nucleotide unclassified non-coding RNA is filed under the name Hevea brasiliensis (rubber tree). Lineage: Eukaryota; Viridiplantae; Streptophyta; Magnoliopsida; Malpighiales; Euphorbiaceae. The record is from RNAcentral.
GAAGAAGGUUAGAUUUCAAGAAUUUCUCAGUUUCUUUGAAAGUCCUUUCCAUUUUUAAGCAGUAACUACCACUGAAAUUAAUGACUGAUUGGUUCUGUUUUGUGAAUGAUGAACCAAAUUUUCUUACUUAUCCAGUGAAAAAUCCCACCUUUCCAUUUGUACCUUAUCCAAUUAUCCAGUUGAGUAAAUUAUGUAAUCGCACACUGCACUUGUCUUUUGUUUGAAAUCAGUGGCCAGUUAAUCAGUAUAUCUUUAACCAAUUAAGGUUCUGUGACUAUCAGUUGAGGCCACCCAACUGACAUAGUUCUUCCCUGCAACGAAAACGCAGAAGAAAUAGUCCAUUAGAUUACUUAUCAUUUCUUUGAAAUGUAAAAUGUAAAUGAGACCUUCCUUGUGAAAGAUGAUAAGCAGUUUCUGUGGGAAAUUUCGGUUCAAUGUUUUGUUUGUAAUGUCAAUAAUGCUUAGUUGUGAU